This 253-nucleotide ribosomal RNA is filed under the name uncultured bacterium. RNAcentral's name for it is "partial 16S ribosomal RNA". It matches the Rfam family "Bacterial small subunit ribosomal RNA", at positions 524 to 776 of the family's 1533-position model. The record is from RNAcentral.
UACAGAGGUCUCAAGCGUUGUUCGGAUUCACUGGGUUUAAAGGGUGCGUAGGAGGGCAGGUAAGUCAGUGGUGAAAUCCCCGAGCUUAACUUGGGAACUGCCGUUGAUACUAUCUGUCUUGAAUGUUGUGGAGGUGAGCGGAAUAUGUCAUGUAGCGGUGAAAUGCUUAGAUAUGACAUAGAACACCAAUUGCGAAGGCAGCUCGCUACACAAUUAUUGACUCUGAUGCACGAAAGCGUGGGGAUCAAACAGG